This 368-nucleotide long non-coding RNA is filed under the name Gossypium barbadense (sea-island cotton). RNAcentral describes it as "long non-coding RNA (GBAR_LNC003309)". The record is from RNAcentral. Lineage: Eukaryota; Viridiplantae; Streptophyta; Magnoliopsida; Malvales; Malvaceae.
AUGAUUUAAAAAUACAAAGCAUGAAAGCAAUAACAAGUCAACUGCCAGAAAUAAUUUGAGUAUGAAUGUUAUUAUGUCAAUAUCUGAGUUUUGGUACCCACCACAGCUUUCUAUGGAUGUUUUAUGUACUCUAAAGCAGAAUCAUUUUGCUACUAUAUUUAUAUCUCAGAGUUUCCAUUCAGUUUUCCUCCAAAUUAAUUAAUAUGGAGAAUUUCCUAAACAAUGAAGCUGAAUGAAGCCCACCAUUAAUCCUAUGAAUAAAAACCAACCAAUAACUAGUCAACCGCAAAAAAGAAUCAAGUAUGAAUCUUGAUAUCUGAAUUUUGGUGCCCACCACGGCCUUCUAUGGAUAUUUUAUAAACUCUAAA